GUCGAACGGUAACAGGCCGUUGUGAUCCCUUCGGGGUGAACUUGGCGCUGACGAGUGGCAGACGGGUGAGUAACGCACAGGAAUUUGCCCGGUAGUGGGGGAUAGCUCGGAGAAACUCGAAUUAAUACCGCAUACCCUCUACGGAGGAAAGCCGGGGACCUUUUCGGAGGCCCGGCGCUACCGGAUAAGCCUGUGUCUGAUUAGCUUGUUGGUGAGGUAACGGCUCACCAAGGCGACGAUCAGUAGCUGGUCUGAGAGGACGAUCAGCCACACUGGGACUGAGACACGGCCCAGACUCCUACGGGAGGCAGCAGUGAGGAAUAUUGGACAAUGGGCGCAAGCCUGAUCCAGCAAUGCCGCGUGUGUGAAGAAGGCCUGCGGGUUGUAAAGCACUUUCAGCAAGGGAAGAAAAGCCGCGCGCGAAUACCGCGCGGCCCUGACAUGCCCUGCAGAAGAAGCACCGGCUAAUUCCGUGCCAGCAGCCGCGGUAAUACGGAAGGUGCAAGCGUUAAUCGGAAUUACUGGGCGUAAAGCGCACGUAGGCGGUUUGAUUAGUCGGAUGUGAAAUCCCCGGGCUUAACCUGGGAACUGCGUUCGAUACUGUCAGACUGGAGUGCAGUAGAGGGAAGCGGAAUUCCGGGAGUAGCGGUGAAAUGCGUAGAUAUCCGGAGGAACAUCAGUGGCGAAGGCGGCUUCCUGGUCUGUUACUGACGCUGAGGUGCGAAAGCAUGGGGAGCAAACAGGAUUAGAUACCCUGGUAGUCCAUGCCGUAAACGAUGUCAACUAGCUGUUUGAGGUGCUCUAAGCCUUGAGUAGCGCA
This 820-nucleotide ribosomal RNA is filed under the name uncultured bacterium. RNAcentral describes it as "bacterial SSU rRNA". It matches the Rfam family "Bacterial small subunit ribosomal RNA", at positions 61 to 850 of the family's 1533-position model. The record is from RNAcentral.